AGCUCCCAUGGCGCCUGUUUAUCAAAAACAUGGUUUUUUGAAGUAAUAAAAAAUCUAACCUGCUCAAUGCAAAUGUUAAUAGCCGCAGUAAUUUGACUGUGCUAAGGUAGCAUAAUCAUUUGUCUUUUAAAUAAGGUCUAGGAUGAAAGGUUGGACGAAGGAAAUACUGUCUCUUUAUUAAUUAAUGAAUUUAAUUAAUAAGUAAAAAGGCUUAUAUAAAGCUGGAGGACGAUAAGACCCUAUUGAGCUUAAUUUUAUAAUUUUACUGGGGCGGUAAUGUAAGAAAAAAAUCUUAUUUUAUUGAAUAAAAUUUAGGGACCCAAUAUUAUUGAGUAGAAGAUAAAGCUACCAUAGGGAUAACAGCUUGAUUUUUUCUUAAAGUUCAUAUUUAGGAAAAAGUUUGAGACCUCGAUGUUGAAUUAAGGAAUCUUUUUAGUGGAGAAGCUAAAAGAGAGAGUCUGUUCGACUCUUAAAUCUUUACGUGAUCUGAGUUCAGACCGGCCAUGGGAAGCUCUAUA
Molecule: ribosomal RNA, 518 nt
Filed under: Ganthela cipingensis
Lineage: Eukaryota; Metazoa; Arthropoda; Arachnida; Araneae; Liphistiidae
Description: partial 16S ribosomal RNA
Rfam family: Bacterial large subunit ribosomal RNA
Source: RNAcentral